This 469-nucleotide ribosomal RNA is filed under the name uncultured bacterium. Its description in RNAcentral is "partial 16S ribosomal RNA". It matches the Rfam family "Bacterial small subunit ribosomal RNA", at positions 28 to 507 of the family's 1533-position model. The record is from RNAcentral.
GACGAACGCUGGCGGCGUGCUUAACACAUGCAAGUCGAACGGAAAGGCCCUGCUUGCAGGGUGCUCGAGUGGCGAACGGGUGAGUAACACGUGGGUGAUCUGCCCCUUACUUUGGGAUAAGCCUGGGAAACUGGGUCUAGUACUGGAUAGGACCAUGCUGUAGGUGGUGUGGUGGAAAGAUUAGUUUCGGUAAGGGAUGAGCUCGCGGCCUAUCAGCUUGUUGGCGGGGUAAUGGCCUACCAAGGCGUCGACGGGUAGCCGGCCUGAGAGGGUGGACGGCCACAUUGGGACUGGGAUACGACCCAGACUCCUACGGGAGGCAGCAGUGGGGAAUAUUGCACAAUGGGCGCAAGCCUGAUGCAGCGACGCCGCGUGGGGGAUGACGGCCUUCGGGUUGUAAACUCCUUUCGGCCAUGACGAAGCCCUUGUGGUGACGGUAGUGGUAGAAGAAGCACCGGCUAACUACGUG